Molecule: transfer RNA, 76 nt
Filed under: Candidatus Coatesiibacteriota bacterium
Lineage: Bacteria; Candidatus Coatesiibacteriota
Description: Candidatus Coatesbacteria bacterium tRNA-Phe
Rfam family: tRNA
About the family: Transfer RNA (tRNA) molecules are approximately 80 nucleotides in length. Their secondary structure includes four short double-helical elements and three loops (D, anti-codon, and T loops).
Source: RNAcentral
GGCGGGGUAGCUCAGUCGGUAGAGCAGCGGAUUGAAAAUCCGCGUGUCCGCGGUUCAAUUCCGCGCCCCGCCACCA